This 292-nucleotide ribosomal RNA is filed under the name uncultured bacterium. RNAcentral's name for it is "partial 16S ribosomal RNA". It matches the Rfam family "Bacterial small subunit ribosomal RNA", at positions 29 to 342 of the family's 1533-position model. The record is from RNAcentral.
AGCGAACGCUGGCGGCAGGCGUAACACAUGCAAGUCGAGACGGGCGUAGCAAUACGUCAGCGGCAGACGGGUGAGUAACGCGUGGGAACGUACCUUUUGGUUCGGAACCAACCCAGGGAAACUUGGGCUAAAUACCGGAUAAGCCCUUACGGGGAAAGAUUUUAUCGCCGAAAGAUCGGCCCGCGUCUGAUUAGCUAGUUGGUGAGGUAACGGCUCACCAAGCCUUCGAUCUGUAGCUGGUCUGAGAGGACGACCAGCCACACUGGGACUGAGACACGGCCCAGACUCCUAC